RNAcentral lists this ribosomal RNA (253 nucleotides) under uncultured bacterium. RNAcentral's name for it is "partial 16S ribosomal RNA". It matches the Rfam family "Bacterial small subunit ribosomal RNA", at positions 524 to 776 of the family's 1533-position model. The record is from RNAcentral.
UACAGAGGGUGCAAGCGUUAAUCGGAAUUACUGGGCGUAAAGCGUGCGUAGACGGUUAUGUAAGUCGGGUGUGAAAGCCCCGGGCUCAACCUGGGAAUGCCAUUCGAGACUGCGUAGCUAGGGUGCGGAAGAGGGAAGCGGAAUUUCCGGUGUAGCGGUGAAAUGCGUAGAUAUCGGAAGGAACACCAGUGGCGAAGGCGGCUCACUGGACCGGUACUGACGCUGAUGCGCGAAAGCGUGGGGAGCAAACGGG